GGGGUUAUCCCUUAAAUGGUAGAGGACUCGUUUUGCAUACGAGUAGUCCGAGUUCGAGUCUCGGUAACUCCA
RNAcentral lists this transfer RNA (72 nucleotides) under Apophysomyces ossiformis. It matches the Rfam family "tRNA". Rfam says of the family: Transfer RNA (tRNA) molecules are approximately 80 nucleotides in length. Their secondary structure includes four short double-helical elements and three loops (D, anti-codon, and T loops). Lineage: Eukaryota; Fungi; Mucoromycota; Mucoromycetes; Mucorales; Mucoraceae. The record is from Rfam by way of RNAcentral.